GCCGGCGUAGCUCAGUCGGUAGAGCAACGGUUUUGUAAACCGUAGGUCGGAGGUUCGAAUCCUCUCGCCGGCU
This 73-nucleotide transfer RNA is filed under the name Candidatus Acetothermia bacterium. RNAcentral describes it as "tRNA-Thr". It matches the Rfam family "tRNA". From Rfam's summary of the family: Transfer RNA (tRNA) molecules are approximately 80 nucleotides in length. Their secondary structure includes four short double-helical elements and three loops (D, anti-codon, and T loops). Lineage: Bacteria; Candidatus Bipolaricaulota. The record is from RNAcentral.